RNAcentral lists this transfer RNA (63 nucleotides) under Amynthas aspergillum. RNAcentral describes it as "Amynthas aspergillus tRNA-Arg". The record is from RNAcentral. Lineage: Eukaryota; Metazoa; Annelida; Clitellata; Crassiclitellata; Megascolecidae.
AAACAAUAGCAUUUAAAUGCAUACCGGUUUCGGCCCAGUAAGAGCGACCACCCGCAUUGUUUU